RNAcentral lists this long non-coding RNA (1363 nucleotides) under Glycine max (soybean). RNAcentral's name for it is "long non-coding RNA (GMAX_LNC003181)". Lineage: Eukaryota; Viridiplantae; Streptophyta; Magnoliopsida; Fabales; Fabaceae. The record is from RNAcentral.
UUUUCUUCCCUUUAGCAGUCUUAGAUUCUAGGAAAUACUUCUUUAGGAACUUUUCCACAACUUCUUCCCAGGUUUUAAGACUGUUACAUUUGAAUGAGUGAAGCCACCUCUUGGCCUCUCCUGCCAGUGAAAAUGAGAAAAGGCUGAGUCUGAUAGUUUCAUCUGGUACACCAGCAAUCUUAACAAUGUUGCAAAUCUCAAUAAAUGUUGCCAAGUGUGCAUAGGGAUCUUCAUUAGGUAAUCCUUGAAAUAAAUUCCCUUGUAUCAGAUGGAUCAAAGAAUGUGGGUAGGUGAUGUUGUGCGCUUGCACUUCAAGACGUGCAAUGCUAGUGAAAAAUUAUGGUACCAAAUUACUUGAAUAGUCCUCAAGGGUAGUUCUUUGGUCGUGCUCAUCUUCCAUGGUAGCAGUUUUAGACAAUUGAUUAGUGGAUUCCCUUGACGAUGGUGAAUCAGAUGAUGAUGAAUCAGAAAAAUGGGUCUCUUCCUCAAGAAUGGAUGCAACUGUUCUGUCUUGCAAUAGUUUCCUUCUCCUCUCAGCCCUGUCCUUCUCAGUGUAGCUUCAAUUUCUAAGUCCAAAGGAACUAAAGUGCCUGUGGGAGAUCUAUGCAUAAAUAGUACUAACAGAACAACGGUUAUCCAGUUCAAUAAGAGAAGACAAACAUAAAUUAAAGAACAAAUAUACACAGAAACAAUCAAAGAAUAAAAAAUAAAGAAUAGACACCUAAGAACGAGCUAACUUCCCAAAUUAAAAGAAGCUCCCCAGCAACGGCACAAAAAACUUGUUCGCGGCUGGCAAGUGUAUUGGAUUGCACAAGUAGUAUAAAAUGAUAAGAACUGAGUAUCGAACUCUCGGGGAACUUGUGUUAUCUGGCAAACUAUUUCAGUAAAUAGGUGUCUGGUAUGAAAAGAUGAUUAUGGUUAUGAACAGGUAUAUAAACUAUCUAUGCAAAAAGAAAGAAAAUCACGCAAGAGAAAUGUUGCGUAAAACCAAGUAGAGAACACGUUGGUCUUCCUAAUAGGUUCCUGAUGCUAAAAUAGAUAUUCUCUAUCUAACAAUGCUCAUGUAUUCCUAUGUUGUCUCCUAGAAUGCUAGACCCUGACUCCUCAUGAUAGCCUAGCCUAAUCCUGAUCAAGCCUCGUCCACAGAUUCCUCUUGUAAGACUAAACUUAACCAGGACCGCAUUAAGACCCACAUACACAACUAAGUUCUUGUACCCCGAUUCCUCGUGAUAGUACAACAACUUAACCCCGUACUAUCAAGGACUUUAGAAUCAUACCAUUUUCCGCUGUUGAAUGACCCUAACAAAGCAUGCAUCUACGUGAUCAAGGUAAAGGCAUACUGGAAUGAAAAGCAAAUAGCACA